Long non-coding RNA from Neofelis nebulosa (Clouded leopard), 2016 nucleotides. RefSeq lists it as uncharacterized. Lineage: Eukaryota; Metazoa; Chordata; Mammalia; Carnivora; Felidae. The transcript is spliced from 2 exons. The record is from RefSeq and is a predicted model, not a curated record.
CUCCUGCUUAGCCACAAUUACACAUAAUGUCCCAGAAUGCCAGAAUGCUGAGGUUGAACGGGCCCUUAGAGACCAGCCAACCACAGCUGCCUCUAAUACACACACCCUCACUGUUCAGAUGAGGGCACGGAGGGAGGACGGAGAAGUCACAAGCCAGCCAGCAGCAGAACAGGAGCUGGCUAUAUGCUUUCUACCUCCUCCAAGUUUCCUGAUCAUUCUACCACCCCAAGCUGUCACUCAGCUCAGCCAAGCCCCACUGCCGGCCUGAUGAACAGCAAGCCCCAGGUAGUCCAGUCAGAUUCCAGGGCUCCAACUUCUGUGCCACACAGACUUCACAGGACUGAGCCGGCUCUGGGGAUUGUGUCGGGGAGGGAGAUUCCCCCAGUUAGAGAUAAGCAGAGGCCAGCUCCCAGGAAGAAUGGCAUGAUCUCCACACCCAGGCCUCGGCUGGCAAAGCUGGAGCCCAGAGGAUUUGGGAUUUGGGUUAGUACGGACCCAGAAAACCUGACUUUGAUGACCGGGCCCUUCUUGGUUCACUAAAUCUGUGGAUACGGGUUGGGAGGACACCAAGAGGCAUCUCUGAGGCCAAGAAGGAAUCACUCCCACACCACCAGCCCACUACUGGCAACACACCCCUCCAGCCCCCUUCCUCUGUGACCAGCCUUUCAGCCCUAGAAGCAACCAGCCAGCGUCAUUCUCCUUCACUCAGUCACUCAGCAGAAAUUGUACCGAGUACCCGCUGUCUGCCACACCCUGGGUCCGGCACUGGAGACGCAGAGAUGGGGCGGCCCAGGCCCUGCCCUUAAUGAAGUCACCAUUUAGCAGUGACAUCUCCACUCUAACCUAAUGCGCUGACUAAAAGCUUUUCAAGAACUCAGUGUUGAAUCACUAUCCGACUCCUCUCCAGAAGGAACGCAGAUUCAUUUCCAACAGACCAGGCCUACCCACCCGAAUGGCCUACCCUGGAGAGAAUGAAGAUGCCUUCCAUCAGCAGCUCUGGGCCUGAUGGGAACCCUUUUCCCUCCCGAAAGGCGCGGGUACUUUUCCAAGAACCUGCUACCAGCCAGCAUCGACUUCACGCCGCUGUUGGGGAGGGAGGCAAGGAAGCGAGUUUGCAAGCGGCUGGGAAAAGGCCCCUCUCAAGGAAGGAAGUCAACAGGUAUUCCGUAGGUGCUAAAGGGCUCAAGCAUAGGACCACCAGGCAAGGCUGGUCAUAGCUUUCCAGACACCAGCUGGACUCCAGUCAGCUGGACCCUGGCAGGCACGUAGGCACAUUCCCUAUAGGAGCGCCCAGUCAGCUGCGGCACCAAGACUGGUAUCUCCCUUCCUGGGAGAAGGACCUGGGUUUUUUGUGUUUUUUUAAGUUUAUUUAUUUAUUUUGAGAGGUGGGGGAGGGGCUGUGACAGGGGGAGACAGAAUCCCAAGCAGGUUCCUCGCAGUCAGCGCAGAGCCCAAUGCAGGGCUCGAACUCACAGACUGUGAGAUGGUGACCUGAGCCAAAAUCAAGAGUCGGUCACGUAUCCAACAGAGCCAACCAGGCACCCUGAGAAGACCCUGGUUUUGAGCUCAGCUUCUUUCCCUGGAUCUUAAAAAAUAGGGACGGGGGUGGGACGGCGCCUGGGUGGCUCAGUCAGUUGAGCAUCCGACUUCGACUCAGGUCAUGAUCUCGUGGUUUGUGGGUUCGAGUCCCACGUCGAGCUUUGUGCUGACAGUGCGGAGCCUGCUUGGGAUUCUCUCCCUCUCUCUCCGCCUCUCCUCCACUCAUGCUUUCUCUCCCUCUCUCAAAAUAAAUAAACUUUAAAAAAAGAUAGGGUCAGGGGUGCCUGGGUGGCUCAGUGGGUUAAGCGUCGGAGUUCGGCUCAGGCCAUGAUCUCACGGCUUAUGAGUUCAAGCCCCGCGUCGGGCUCUGUGCUGACAGCUCAGAGCCUGGAGCCUCUUCAGAUUCUGUGUCUUUCUCUCUCUCUCUGCCCCUCCCCUGCUCACACUCUGUCUCUCUCUGUCUCUCAAAAAUAAAUA